GUUAUGAAAUGUAAGGAUGUUAAUAGUAUUCUUACUUGACUAAGGCUCCGGAGGAAGCCACGGCUAACUCUGUGCCAGCAGCCGCGGUAAUACAGAGGCGGCAAGCGUUGUUCGGAAUUAUUGGGCGUAAAGAGCAUGUAGGCGGCUAUGUAAGUCGGUUGUGAAAGCCUUCCGCUUAACGGAAGAAUGGCGGCCGAAACUGCAUAGCUUGAGUGCGGUAGGGGAGAGUGGAACUUCUGGUAAU
Molecule: ribosomal RNA, 244 nt
Filed under: uncultured Planctomycetales bacterium
Lineage: Bacteria; Pseudomonadati; Planctomycetota; Planctomycetia; Planctomycetales
Description: partial 16S ribosomal RNA
Rfam family: Bacterial small subunit ribosomal RNA
Source: RNAcentral